Molecule: ribosomal RNA, 199 nt
Filed under: uncultured bacterium
Lineage: Bacteria
Description: partial 16S ribosomal RNA
Rfam family: Bacterial small subunit ribosomal RNA
Source: RNAcentral
CGGAUUGGAGUCUGCAACCCGACUCCAUGAAGCCGGAUUCGCUAGUAAUCGCGCAUCAGCCACGGCGCGGUGAAUACGUUCCCGGGCCUUGUACACACCGCCCGUCAAGCCAUGGAAGCCGGGAGUGCCUGAAGUACGCGACCGCAAGGAGCGUCCUAAGGUAAAACCGGUGACUGGGGCUAAGUCGUAACAAGGUAUC